RNAcentral lists this ribosomal RNA (465 nucleotides) under Vreelandella stevensii. RNAcentral's name for it is "partial 16S ribosomal RNA". It matches the Rfam family "Bacterial small subunit ribosomal RNA", at positions 338 to 795 of the family's 1533-position model. Lineage: Bacteria; Pseudomonadati; Pseudomonadota; Gammaproteobacteria; Oceanospirillales; Halomonadaceae. The record is from RNAcentral.
CCUACGGGCGGCAGCAGUGGGGAAUAUUGGACAAUGGGGGCAACCCUGAUCCAGCCAUGCCGCGUGUGUGAAGAAGGCCCUCGGGUUGUAAAGCACUUUCAGUGAGGAAGAACGCCUGGUGGUUAAUACCCAUCAGGAAAGACAUCACUCACAGAGGAAGCACCGGCUAACUCCGUGCCAGCAGCCGCGGUAAUACGGAGGGUGCGAGCGUUAAUCGGAAUUACUGGGCGUAAAGCGCGCGUAGGUGGCUUGAUAAGCCGGUUGUGAAAGCCCCGGGCUCAACCUGGGAACGGCAUCCGGAACUGUCAAGCUAGAGUGCAGGAGAGGAAGGUAGAAUUCCCGGUGUAGCGGUGAAAUGCGUAGAGAUCGGGAGGAAUACCAGUGGCGAAGGCGGCCUUCUGGACUGACACUGACACUGAGGUGCGAAAGCGUGGGUAGCAAACAGGAUUAGAUACCCGAGUAGUC